This 248-nucleotide long non-coding RNA is filed under the name Nicotiana benthamiana. Its description in RNAcentral is "long non-coding RNA (NBEN_LNC002857)". Lineage: Eukaryota; Viridiplantae; Streptophyta; Magnoliopsida; Solanales; Solanaceae. The record is from RNAcentral.
GGUAGGGAUCCAACUUCUCCUCCCAAUAUCUGUGUCAGUUGCUCUAUGUUGUUAACUUCAUUAAUGGGGAAAAUAUUGCUCUUUCUCCGGUUGAUGUGUAAUCUCGAGACUCCCUCAAAUAAGACCAAAAUGAUCCUAAGGAAUCUAAGUUGUUCCUUUUUAGCGUUACAAAAGACUAGAGUAUCAUCUAACAUAUUGGAAAUGUGUGAUCUCUAUAUUGUUUGCCCCACUCAUGUUUACCUCAAAAC